This is an RNA transcript of Polypterus senegalus (gray bichir), 4622 nucleotides long. It is a transcript of the gene named cystatin-like, with no coding region annotated. The transcript has 5 exons. The record is from RefSeq and is a predicted model, not a curated record. NCBI's taxonomy places the organism in Eukaryota, Metazoa, Chordata, Cladistia, Polypteriformes, Polypteridae.
AAAAAAAAAAAAGAAAAAUUUCAGCAUCGACAAUUUCCAUCCAUCCAUUUUCCAACCCGCUCCCAUCCUUUCAACCCUGAUGGGUGAAAAUGACGAUUUUCAUUUCAUUGUUUGUGUGCACUGUUACUGUUACAUGCAAAAAAAAAUAUAAAGUACACAAAUAAACAAGCAACAAAACAUUUCCAGUUUAAUCAUAUAUACUUACACAUACUUGUAGUUUAUUUAUUGCCUCGGUUCACAAUACGUUUAUUUGCGUAUUUAUUUCGUUUUGUCAGAAAUAUUCCUCCAUACCAUAAAACAUGCAUCCAGUCCUGGUAAGGAAACUCUUCUCUAACGAUGUUUCUAUUUCCUAUACAUCACACAUAACUUGCAUUUCAAAUGUAAAUGAGUUAUCCUAUAUCACUUACUACUGAAUCGUUUUUCACAAAGAUAUCUCAUAGAAGAAUUAGAAUAAAAAUGAAAAAGCCGCAAAUCAAAACAUAUAAAAGGAACAGAAAUACUAUCAUGUGAUUGCACAAAAAUUACACACCCAUGUAAACAGUAAAGUAUACUAUCCGCGCAAUCUGGGCAGAUGGUAGUUGUUUUAAGGGGCAUUGGGAUUUGUUCUUGUGUCCUCUUUUCUGAAUGCAUUUAUUGGCAAACUAUUCGUAGGAGUCAAAGCCAGGUCGACGCGUCGUCAACACGGGGACGGGGGUUUGGGCUUAAAAAUAAAGGCUACAACAUGGACAAUGAUUCAAAACAUAGCAAGAACGAAACACCAGUAAUAAUGAUCAAAAAGGCUUAGCAAAGUUAAAAGAAGCACGGCGAAAGUUAAACGAUCUAAAGGGCACCGGGACUGCAGCUCUCUGUGACGGCGUCCCCUACGUCUGGUAGAAUUCAACGUAUACCCAUCUGUCAAUAAUAGCCCACAAAAUACCGCCCUCUGCUGUUCAUCAGCAUAUAUGACUUGAGUGAUGCACUCCUCGCUCCUGGCACAUAUUUCCAUAGCUGGUCUCUUGCUGGGGUAAACAAAGAAAGAAGGUGAAUCUUUUUGACGUGCACUUAUUGGAUUGUGUUUUUUCAUAACUUGCAUGCGCUGAGAAGUGUCAGCUUUGGGGACUCCUUGGUAAUUGUUUAAUGAUACUUGUGUUUCAGUGAAGUUUGUGAUUAUAGUAGGACUGGAAGGUUAUUUCACAGAAUUUCAUGUCUCUGUCAUGUUCAUUUUGCUUAUUUUUACUCAAUGAAGUUACCUAAUACGUUAUAUGACGUGAUAGAGAAAAAUUAUUUUCAUUUUUGAAUUCAGCACCAACAAUGUAUAAACAUCAAACAAAAUAAUCAAAACAAUUUUUUAAACUAUAUCUGUGAAAUACCAACCGAUGCUCUAAUGUGUAGGCAUUUUUGGACACGAAUUUUAUCCAGCAAUCCUAAAGGGGUCUGCCAGAAUCUCAUUGCAUUGUUGUCAAGUUUAUAAAAUUCCACAGUUUACCCCUUUGAACCAAAUAGUAAUUUUAGGUCAUUUUUGUUUUUAGCUCUUAUUAUUUAAAAGACAUUUGCAAGAAAACUCAUCAAACCUACUUAAAAUUGGCUUAUUUUAAGAAAUGGUGAAGGGAGCUAAAAACGAAGCAACCUCUGACCUGACACCCUCCCCCACAACUCAGCCCCGCACCCAACCCCCGACGUGGGUUUCAAUUUGUGUCGAUACGUGCCUGAAGACAUGCUUUAUUUACUUCUCCUUCCUUCCCUUUUGUCCCUUUAUUUUGAUUCGUCUUUCAUGACACUCAUUGUCACUCGUCUCCUGUAACGAUUGAAACUGUGUGUUCUUCCGUCACCCUCUAGAUCGGGUCUUCAGUGUUCAGUGAGUGCUUAAUCAUCUCAUGGACCCUGUAAACAUACGGGCCAGCACUCUGCGUGAAAAAGUAGGAUUGAUUCUCUUUUCUUAACCAUUACUAUAAACCAACUACUUUAUUACAAAGUACAUACAAUAAAUAACAUAUAAAAUAUAUAAUUUUUGGGCACCGCAAUCCUUUAAAACAGCCACUUCCCGCAACUGUUUUUACUCUCAAAUCCACGUAUUGAAAAUUUCAGCAUAGACAAUUCACCAUUUAUAAAAUUAGUUCUCGCUGGAGCCAACCCUCUCAACCCUGAUGGGUGAAAAUGACGAUCUUCAUUUCACUAUUUGUGUGCACUGUUACAGAAAUACAUGCAAAAUAUUAUAAAGUACACAAAUAAACGAGCAACAAAAGAUUUCAUAACCAGUUUAAUAAAAUAUGCUUACAUAUACUUGUUUAUUUAUUGUCACGUUUUGCAAUACGUUUAUUUGCGUAUUUAUUUUGUUUUGUCAGAAAUAUUCCUCCCUACCAUAAAACAUGUAUCACACAGGUCGCUAAUGUAAUUGUAACAAAAAAAAAAACUAAUACAAUACAAUUUUUUCUAACUAAUGCGUGUGCAUUGUUUCAACAUAUAGUGCUUAUUUUAAAAGAGCAUCCUCCUUUACAUUUGUAGAGCCACUAAUUGCAUUAGAAGGUCGCGGAGGCGGAGGACAGCCCACUCUCCACUCAACCAAUCCCGUUGGUGCCUUUAUUUUCAGCCAAGUCUGCCUUUUUUUUAAUAACUCAUUCAAUCUUUUCAGUAAGUGUGCUGGUUAAAACCACCCAGAGAAAUAUUUACCUUUUUUCUCUGUGCUUUCUCAAAUGCGAUUACAGGAUGCACGCCUCACCCAAAAAAGUGCAUGUGGCAUUUAAGCGCAGCGUUAUGGGGUUUCCAUUACUCGAUUAGCCUAAGCCUCAGGUUCGUUUCCUUACUCUCGAUUAUGUUGCGCCUCACCCUUUCUCUCACAUAAUCAGGGAGGCUUUCGUGUUUGUAAUCCUGCACAGGCUGGGUCGAUUUUAAAUUUUUGUUUUCAUACAAGUUUCGUGCCUCAGUCUUUAACCAAACUGCUUAGCCCCAGCACCGUCCGGUCUAGAGUUGUGAAAUGUAAUAUAAUAGUGAGGACAUGAUUACACAUCGUCCAGUCAAACUCUUUAUCAGUACCGAUGGUAAAUUUAAGUUAGUAAUUGAUUAUAUUAAACCAUGUUGUAUUAUUGAUUAUCCAGUCUUAUUUCCAUUUAUGCACGUUCUAAACCCGUUUAUCCAGAGCUGGCUCUCAGGGGAGCUGGAACCUACCCCAGUAAGUAUUGAGAAUAAUGUGGCUAAGGCUAUAGUUGUCUACAUUUUAACGUAUUUUAAUCUGUCCAUUCGUCCACCCAUUGGAACACUAUUGCUUAUUUAUUUGACAAUCUUUCCUUGUUAUAAAUAAAUAACAUAAAAUUGAUCCUCCUCUGGUUUCUUCGCUAGUAUAAUCCGAAAUGUACAUAUAUGCCAUAUUUUCUAAAGUAUUAUUAACCACUCAUGUUCCAACUCAAGCAUCUCUCAGGACAGCUGCCCCCUGCUCCCGCAUCACAAAUGGACAUGAUCUAUGCUUUCCGCCUGAAUACAUUAGGGAAUAGUUUGUCACAGUUUAUUGUAAAAGAGACGUUAUCUGUCUAAGCCAAUCGGCACGUAGCAAGUGACGAAAUUACGGGUGUGCCCGAAAGUCAGUCAGUGUCGUGACACACUGUAAAGGCAGAAGAGUCUGGAUGUGCAGGAGCUCAACUGAUCAUUUAUAACGCAGCCUUCCAGGAGUUUUGGUGUCUUGAGUUCAACGUGAGCAGUUCUCUUCCAGAUCCAUUUGGAUAUGGCUUACAUCUGGCCCAAAGUUGGUCUACUGCUGCUUUCUGGCCUUCUGUCAGUCUACUGUCAAAUUCCAGGAGGUCUGGAGUCUGUUCCAGUGAAUGGGACUGAUGUGGUUAAUGCAGCUGAAUAUGCUGUGCAGGAAUUCAACUUCCAAAAUAAUGACUAUAUUGUCCUACAGAAGGAAAUUGUGAAUGCAAAACGACAGGUUGUGUCUGGGCUAAUGUACUACUUAGAUGUUGCGAUCCAGUGUACAUAUUGUAAGAAGGGGGAACCCAUCAACUCUGUUUGCACCUCCUGUAAUGGCCAGAAGGUCUGCCUUUUCCAAGUAUGGGAACAAGCCUGGUUGGACUUAAUACAGCUGGUGAGGGCUGAUUGUCCUUCUGACUGGAGCUGAAGAACAAAUGUGUAAUAUGUGCAAAAUAUCUUGGUGCACAACAGCUACACUAAUUUAGCAUUCUGUAAAGCCAAACAUUCUCAAACCAUUAAUAUGAAGAGUUUUGGAAUCAAGUGAUUUAACAGAUUUGGCUGCAAAGAACAACCAAAAGUAAUACGUAGAAAUAACGUUGGAGCUCAGGUGAACUUGUGCUUUUUGCAGUUCCAUGGGUUCCACUGAUUAACAUGACACUCCAAAUAAGCAAGCUAACACAUCACUAUUAAUAAAUCAUUAAAAAAAAGACACCAAAUGAAUGAUCAUUAAAGUUAAAAGUGUAUUGUAACAGACAAAAUGUUACAUUUGUGAAAUAUGGAAAAUGCUUUUUUCUGUUUUUAAUAUUGUGUUCUCUGAUUAAUUUUGACAACUGUCCUUUUAAAUAAAGUUCUCUUAGUCUGCUCUUGUGCUAGUAGGAUCUUUCUUCACUUGACUUUCUAGAGCACUAGUCACUCAAAAUCUGUGAAGUUGUUCAACUACUAUAAUAAAGGUUUAUGUUGUUGAA